AGCAGCCGCGGUAAUUCCAGCUCCAAUAGCGUAUAUUAAAGUUGUUGCAGUUAAAAGCUCGUAGUUGAAUUUCGGGAUCAAUUCGUCGGUCGUGCUUUUUGGUACGUACUGGUGUUUAUUGGUUUCUCCCUUCUGACGAACCAUGAUGUCAUUAAUUUGGUGUUAUGGGGAGUUAGGACUGUUACUUUGAAAAAAUUAGAGUGUUUAAAGCAGGCAUUAGCUUGAAUACAUUAGCAUGGAAUAAUGAAAUAGGACGUUCGAUCCUAUUUUGUUGGUUUCUAGGAUCAACGUAAUGAUUAAUAGGGAUAGUUGGGGGCAUUAGUAUUCAAUUGUCAGAGGUGAAAUUCUUGGAUUUAUUGAAGACUAACUACUGCGAAAGCAUUUGCCAAGGAUGUUUUCAUAAUUCAAGAACGAAAGUUAGGGGAUCGAAGACGAUCAGAUACCGUCGUAGUCUUAACCAUAAACUAUGCCGACUAGGGAUCGGAUGAUGUUAAUUUUUUUAAUGACUCAUUCGGCGCCU
RNAcentral lists this unclassified non-coding RNA (520 nucleotides) under uncultured Glomus. Its description in RNAcentral is "SSU rRNA". It matches the Rfam family "Eukaryotic small subunit ribosomal RNA", at positions 569 to 1088 of the family's 1831-position model. The record is from RNAcentral. Lineage: Eukaryota; Fungi; Glomeromycota; Glomeromycetes; Glomerales; Glomeraceae.